AGAGUUAAAUAGUACGUGAAAUUGUUGAAAGGGAAACGCUUGACACCAGUCAUGCGAGCGGAAAAUCAGUCUUUUGCAGUGGGGAGUUGUGUGGGUUCGGACCGCAAGGCCGGCCUGCGCUGCAUCUCUGCUGUAAGUGAUGCACUUUUUCGUUUGCAGGCCAACAUCAGUUUCUUCUGCUGGACAAAACUCUUGAGAAGGUAGCAGCUUUGGCUGUGUUAUAGCUCUUGAGCGAUACAGUGGAGGGGACUGAGGUUUUCGCAGCGCGUGCUCUCGGGCAAGGCUGAUUGGGUGCUAUGGGAUCGUUCGGUGUACAAUGCUUGCAUUUUGCGCCGUGUCUUUUCUGUACUCGCUCAACUCGGCUCUUCCGCGCUUAGGAUGUUGGCUUAAUGGUUUUAAUCGACC
RNAcentral lists this non-coding RNA (405 nucleotides) under uncultured fungus. Lineage: Eukaryota; Fungi. RNAcentral also lists the same sequence under 1 other name. The record is from RNAcentral.